This 463-nucleotide ribosomal RNA is filed under the name uncultured bacterium. RNAcentral describes it as "partial 16S ribosomal RNA". It matches the Rfam family "Bacterial small subunit ribosomal RNA", at positions 28 to 507 of the family's 1533-position model. The record is from RNAcentral.
GAUGAACGCUGACAGAAUGCUUAACACAUGCAAGUCGAUGGGGAAGUGGUGCUUGCACCAUGGUAACCAUGGCGGACGGGUGAGUAACACGUAAGGAACUUACCUGCGGGACCGGGAUAACAGCAGGAAACUGCUGACAAGACCGGAUAAGGUCAUUAAGCUGCAUAGCUUAGUGAUGAAAGGAGACGCCUGCGGAGAGCCUUGCGUCCUAUUAGCUAGUUGGGGGGGUAACGGCCCACCAAGGCGAAGAUAGGUAGCCGGCCUGAGAGGGUGGACGGCCACAAGGGGACUGAGAUACGGCAGUUACUCCUACGGGAGGCAGCAGUGGGGAAUAUUGGACAAUGGGGGCAACCCUGAUCCAGCAAUUCUGUGUGCACGAAGACGGUUUUCGGAUUGUAAAGUGCUUUCAGCAGGGAAGAAGGAAGUGACGGUACCUACAGAAGAAGCGACGGCUAAAUACGUG